GGCAGACGGGUGAGUAACGCGUGGGAACAUACCUUUUGGUUCGGAACAACACAGGGAAACUUGUGCUAAUACCGGAUAAGCCCUUACGGGGAAAGAUUUAUCGCCGAAAGAUUGGCCCGCGUCUGAUUAGCUAGUUGGUGAGGUAAUGGCUCACCAAGGCGACGAUCAGUAGCUGGUCUGAGAGGAUGAUCAGCCACAUUGGGACUGAGACACGGCCCAAACUCCUACGGGAGGCAGCAGUGGGGAAUAUUGGACAAUGGGGGCAACCCUGAUCCAGCCAUGCCGCGUGAGUGAUGAAGGCCCUAGGGUUGUAAAGCUCUUUUGUGCGGGAAGAUAAUGACGGUACCGCAAGAAUAAGCCCCGGCUAACUUCGUGCCAGCAGCCGCGGUAAUACGAAGGGGGCUAGCGUUGCUCGGAAUCACUGGGCGUAAAGGGUGCGUAGGCGGGUCUUUAAGUCAGGGGUGAAAUCCUGGAGCUCAACUCCAGAACUGCCUUUGAUACUGAGGAUCUUGAGUUCGGGAGAGGUGAGUGGAACUGCGAGUGUAGAGGUGAAAUUCGUAGAUAUUCGCAAGAACACCAGUGGCGAAGGCGGCUCACUGGCCCGAUACUGACGCUGAGGCACGAAAGCGUGGGGAGCAAACAGGAUUAGAUACCCUGGUAGUCCACGCCCGUAAACGAUGAAUGCCAGCCGUUAGUGGGUUUACUCACUAGUGGCGCAGCUNACGCUUUNAAGCAUUCCNCCUGGGGAAGUACGGUCGCAAGAUUAAAACUCNAAGGAUUGACCGGGGCCCGCACAAGCGGUGGANNUGUGGUUUAAUU
RNAcentral lists this ribosomal RNA (819 nucleotides) under Bradyrhizobium sp. AU5sfb. Its description in RNAcentral is "bacterial SSU rRNA". It matches the Rfam family "Bacterial small subunit ribosomal RNA", at positions 97 to 951 of the family's 1533-position model. Lineage: Bacteria; Pseudomonadati; Pseudomonadota; Alphaproteobacteria; Hyphomicrobiales; Nitrobacteraceae. The record is from RNAcentral.